CAAGGGUACAAGGUGCCGGAAGCGAGAGGCCAAAGGCGGGGAGGAGUUCGUCAAAAUGAUUUAGAUUGCUGUGUUUGGACGGUGGCGUGCUGGUUUUUUCUUUGUUUUUUACUGUCGCCAACAAAAGGCGUUUCUUGAGACCUCACAAGCGCCCACUAUGGCAGGAGCAGAAGCAGUUUGGAAACUGUGUCUCUUUUGAUUCAGGAAUUUAACAUCCAAAACAGUCUUUUAAAAAGGGGGAAAGGAAUGUAGGUGGGAUAGGAGCAUCGAAAGAAACCAGUAGAGAAGAGGAGAAUGGGUCCUCUGAUUAGAAUUUAAAUUAUUGGUCUUCCCUGGUGGUGCAGUGGUUAAGAACCCACCUGCCAAUGCAGGGGACACAGGUUCGAGCUCUGGUCCAGGAAGGUCCCACAUGCCAUAGAGCAGCUAAGCCCAUGCACCACAACUACUAAGCCUGCACUCUAGAGCCCGCGAGCCACAACUACUGAAGCCCACGCACCUAGAGCCCGUGCUCUGCAACAAGAGAAGCCACCGCAAUGAGAAGCUGGCGCACCACAGUGAAGAGUAGCCCCUGCUUACAACUAG
Molecule: long non-coding RNA, 582 nt
Organism: Lagenorhynchus albirostris (white-beaked dolphin)
Lineage: Eukaryota; Metazoa; Chordata; Mammalia; Artiodactyla; Delphinidae
Exons: 3
Source: RefSeq, a predicted model, not a curated record